This 253-nucleotide ribosomal RNA is filed under the name uncultured bacterium. RNAcentral describes it as "partial 16S ribosomal RNA". It matches the Rfam family "Bacterial small subunit ribosomal RNA", at positions 524 to 776 of the family's 1533-position model. The record is from RNAcentral.
UACGAAGGGGGCUAGCGUUGCUCGGAAUUACUGGGCGUAAAGGGAGCGUAGGCGGAUAGUUUAGUCAGAGGUGAAAUCCCGGGGCUCAACCUCGGAUCUGCCUUUGAUACUGGCUAUCUUGAGUAUGGGAGAGGUGUGUGGAACUCCGAGUGUAGAGGUGAAAUUCGUAGAUAUUCGGAAGAACACCAGUGGCGAAGGCGACACACUGGCCCAUUACUGACGCUGAGGCUCGAAAGCGUGGGGAGCAAACAGG